This 253-nucleotide ribosomal RNA is filed under the name uncultured bacterium. RNAcentral's name for it is "partial small subunit ribosomal RNA". It matches the Rfam family "Bacterial small subunit ribosomal RNA", at positions 26 to 285 of the family's 1533-position model. The record is from RNAcentral.
AGGACGAACGCUGGCGGCGUGCUUAACACAUGCAAGUCGAGCGGAAAGGCCCUUCGGGGUACUCGAGCGGCGAACGGGUGAGUAACACGUGAGUAAUCUGCCCCUAGCUCUGGGAUAGCUCCGGGAAACCGGGAUUAAUACCGGAUAUGACCACUUUAGACAUCUGCUGUGGUGGAAAGAAUUUCGGCUAGGGAUGAGCUCGCGGCCUAUCAGCUUGUUGGUGGGUAACGGCCUACCAAGGCGACGACGGGUA